AAUACCAGCUCUCCGAGUGGUGUGGACGUUUAUUGGGCCUAAAGCAUCCGUAGCUGGCUGGACAAGUCCCCUGUUAAACCCACCGAUUUAAUCGUUGGCUUGCGGGGGAUACUGCUCGGCUAGGGGACGAGAGAGGCAGACGGUAUUCCCGGGGUAGGGGUGAAAUCCUAUAAUCCCGGGAAGACCACCAGUGGC
This 195-nucleotide ribosomal RNA is filed under the name uncultured crenarchaeote. Its description in RNAcentral is "partial 16S ribosomal RNA". It matches the Rfam family "Archaeal small subunit ribosomal RNA", at positions 472 to 667 of the family's 1478-position model. Lineage: Archaea; Thermoproteati; Thermoproteota. The record is from RNAcentral.